CAGAAGAUAGUUUAGUACAGAAUUCUAGCUUUGGGUGCUAGGGGCGGGAGUUUGAAUCUCUCUUUUCUGG
Molecule: transfer RNA, 70 nt
Filed under: Jenkinsia lamprotaenia (dwarf round herring)
Lineage: Eukaryota; Metazoa; Chordata; Actinopteri; Clupeiformes; Clupeidae
Description: tRNA-Pro
Rfam family: tRNA
About the family: Transfer RNA (tRNA) molecules are approximately 80 nucleotides in length. Their secondary structure includes four short double-helical elements and three loops (D, anti-codon, and T loops).
Source: RNAcentral